AUGAACUCCAUUCAUUUUUUUUUAUUUUAUUUUUUUUAAUUUUUUACCCCCCUUUUUUUUUUUUUUCCGAACAUUACAGCGCUAAACAUAAAUAUAAAUACAGGAACCACGAACACAGAGAAAAAUAUUCACACAGAAACCGUCACAGUUUGUGGAUGCGGUGAUGAGCCCAGGACAAAAAGGCAAAUUUGGGCCGAAAAAGCGCUUUUUUAGGGCAUUUCCCCGAGGAAAAUCGGAAUUUUUCUCACCGGGAAUCGCUGAGGUUCGGGGGGAAUUGGUGGCCCCAAUUCUGCCCAGUUUGGCCCCAAUUCUGCCCCGGUUUUGCCCCAAUUUUUUCCCCAUUUUUCCCAUUUUCCCCUUUUUCUCCCCAUUUUCCCCAUCCCCGUUCCUUCCGGCCGAGCUGGUUCUUUUUGCCCUCUGUAAAUCGAAUUUUCGGGCGCUUUUUGCCCCGGUUUUUUGGGUUUUUUUUGCGGUUUUUUGCUGUCCGAGCGGAGCCGGAGCGGCGGGAAGAGGGAAAAGAGAGGAAAAAAGAGGAAAAAAGAGGAAAAAGAGGAAAAAAGGCCGGGCAGGAGGGAAGGGGGAGCCCGGUAAGUGUUCGCUUAUUGGUUCAGAUGCGCAGCUAAUGAUCCAUAACCCGAGGAGGAGGAUGAUGGUGGUGAUGAUGAUGAUGAUGCGGCGGGCGGGGGAAGGAGCGAGGCGGAGAGAGAGACAGAAAAAAUAAAUAAAAAAGUCAAAACACCAAAAAAAAUCUUUAAAAAUACAAAAAAAACCGGCGAUUUUUGCUCGAAAACAACGAAAAAAAAUCGGAUUUUUCCUCCCUCUCGAUGCCUCGCUUUGGUAUGGGUUUGGAAAACGGGAGUUAAAAUUUAAAAUUGGGGUUGAUUUGCGGGGAAAUGGUGAAAAAAUGAGGAGAAAAUGAGAAUAAAAUGAGGGGAAAUGUUUUAAAAACGCA
Molecule: long non-coding RNA, 952 nt
Filed under: Junco hyemalis (dark-eyed junco)
Lineage: Eukaryota; Metazoa; Chordata; Aves; Passeriformes; Passerellidae
Description: lncRNA (ENSJHYG00000015760.1)
Source: RNAcentral